CAUUGAGGUGCGAANGCNUGGGUAGCAACCAGGAUUAGAUACCCUGGUAGUCCACCCNGUAAACGAUGUCAACUAGCCGUNGGGUCCCCUUGAGGANUUAGUGGCGCAGCUAACGCAAUAAGUUGACCGCCUGGGGAGUACGGCCGCAAGGUUAAAACUCAAAUGAAUUGACGGGGGCCCGCACAAGCGGUGGAGCAUGUGGUUUAAUUCGAUGCAACGCGAAGAACCUUACCUACCCUUGACAUCCAGAGGACUUUCCAGAGAUGGAUUGGUGCCUUCGGGAACUCUGAGACAGGUGCUGCAUGGCUGUCGUCAGCUCGUGUUGUGAAAUGUUGGGUUAAGUCCCGUAACGAGCGCAACCCCUAUCCUUAUUUGCCAGCGAGUAAUGUCGGGAACUCUAAGGAGACUGCCGGUGACAAACCGGAGGAAGGUGGGGACGACGUCAAGUCAUCAUGGCCCUUACGGGUAGGGCUACACACGUGCUACAAUGGCAAGUACAAAGGGUUGCAAUACGGCGACGUGGAGCCAAUCCCAUAAAGCUUGCCUCAGUCCGGAUUGGAGUCUGCAACUCGACUCCAUGAAGUCGGAAUCGCUAGUAAUCGUGGAUCAGAAUGCCACGGUGAAUACGUUCCCGGGCCUUGUACACACCGCCCGUCACACCAUGGGAGUGGACUGCACCAGAAGUGGUUAGCCUAACCUUCGGGAGGGCGAUCACCACGUNGUUC
RNAcentral lists this ribosomal RNA (725 nucleotides) under Halomonas sp. RNAcentral describes it as "bacterial SSU rRNA". It matches the Rfam family "Bacterial small subunit ribosomal RNA", at positions 744 to 1470 of the family's 1533-position model. The record is from RNAcentral. Lineage: Bacteria; Pseudomonadati; Pseudomonadota; Gammaproteobacteria; Oceanospirillales; Halomonadaceae.